AGCCGGGCGCACGGAGAUGGCGUCGAGCGCAUCCCGCCCCCGACGCACAGAGAUGACGUCACGCUCCCGCCGGGGAGCGCCGCCUAUCUUUGAGAGGAGGAAAUUGGCCGCCUGCCCACCUUGUCCCACGCCCCCUUUGGUGGGAAAAUGGAACACCUAUCCCUCUGCAUGGGUCUAUUCUCUUCUCCUGAUGCUUCCUAGACCUCACCUCCUAUUUCCUGCCUCAGCUAUGGGCCAUUAGCUUUUUACUGACAGGUGCUGCUUCCAUACAGGCACAACAGCUUCCCUCCGUACUCACUGUCCAGGUUUCCACAAACUGUUCUGUGUCCUGACUGGGUCAAUGUCAACACUCUGGUUCUAAUAGUCCACUCCAGUCUUCCAAGAUACUGCUUUUGGAGAAAACCUCAUAAAGAGAACUCCUGAUCUCCCUGUGGUAUUUCUUACAACAUGGGGAUCACAGGACCCAGAUGUAGAACUCUCAGCUCCUUCUCCACCACAUGUUCUGUCUGUGUGAUGCCAUGCUUCCAGUCAUGAAAAUGAUGGACUAAACCUCUGAACUGUGUAUGUAUGUCUUAGUGUUGUAUUGCUGUGAAGAGACACCAUGGCCACAGCAACUCCUAUGGAAGAAAGCAUUUGAUUGGGAUGUGCUUAAAGUUUGAGAGGCUUAGUCCACGGAGGGGAGCCCGGUUUUACACAGGCAAGCAUGGUGCUAGAGAAGUUGUUGAGAAUCCUGCGUCUGGAAGCUGGCAGACAGCAGGAAGGAAGAGACUCUGGGUUUGCGAUGGGAUUUUUGAAACUUCAAAGCCCAGCCUCAGUGACACACUUUCUCGAGCAAGACCAGACCUCUUAAUCCUUUCAAAUAGUACCACUCUCCAUGAUCCUAUGGGGGCCAUUUUCAUUCAAACCACCACAUUCCUCUCCCUGACCCCAUGGACUAGUAGCUAUGUAAUAAUGCAGAAUUUGUUUAGUCCAACUUCAAAAAUCCCCCAUAGUGUAUCACAAUCUCAAUACUGUUUUAAAGAUAAAAGUCUCUUGUGAAACUCAAGGCAAUCUCUUAACUGUAACUCUUGUAAAAUCAAAAUUCAAAGAGCAGAUCACAUACUUCCAACAUGCAUUGGCACAGAAUAUGCAUUGUCUUUCCAAAAGGGAGGAAGGGUUGCAUCAUGAGGAAACAGUGCACCAAUGCAGGGCCAAGAACUAGCUGGAUAAACUCCAAAAUACAUCUCCACAUCUUAUGUCAAAGCACUCCUCAGAUCUCCAGCCCCUUUCAGCUUUGCUGACUGUAACACACUUCUCUUUCUGAGGCUGGUUCUGCUCCCUGCCAGCAGCCCCUUUCAGCAGGUGUUCCAUGGCUCUGAUGCCAUCCAGUUUUUUUAGGAUAUCAGAAUCACAGGAAGCAUUUGAGCUCAACCUUUGUGGGGAGGCUUCAAUUCAGUCUUUAAGAUGUGAUCAAGGAAUGUGCAUUUGCAGGAAGUUCCUAGGUAUAUAGAGGUUGUGAUCUGGAAAUAAAAAGUUGGAGACCACGUGCACAAAUAGGCCAUGUUAUGAGUAUAUGGUUUAUGUGUAAGUGCAGAUUUUGUUUUUAUAUAACAUUGUUUAUCUAGUGUGUAACAUGCUUUUUUUUUUCCUUUUAUUCAACAAACUCCCUCCGUUUACUUAUUUUUCUAUAUGUGCUUCCUGCUGCAAUUUGAGUAGUACCAAAAAGCAUGGAAGGAGGUUGCCCAUCAUCUGGCCACUAGGGAGGGUGAAGGCAUUUGCAUUCUCAUAGAGCACCUUACCUUGUGAAGGCUAUGAAGAUCCUGGAGUUGUGCUGUGAACUGCUGCUGGCUCAGUGUAGCUUGAGUGAGGCUAGCAUUUAGGAUGGUGAAUCAGGUGGAUGAUGAGUUCAAGGUCAACGGAGGCUACAUGGCCUGACUCUGUCUCAAGAACAAAACAAAACAUUCCUAAAUAAACAACAACCAAACCUUCACCAAAAUAAAAAAAUAAAAACUAACCUGAAAACAGGAGGUGACUAAGCUGGUAAGGUUUCUGUUGCAAGAGGAUUUGAGUUCUGAACCUCAGUGCCACAAUAAAAUCCAUGAGCUGCUGAUAGCAUCUAUAACACCAGCAAUGGGGAGGCAGGGAGACCAGGGGAGACCAGAGCUCAUUAACCAGCCAGCCUAAACAAAUAGAUUGCAUGCUGCAGCACAAGUAUAGCAUCAGAGAACAGCUUGUGGGAGUCUGAUGGUUUCUUCCACUGUGGAUUUUAGGGACUGAAUUUAAGUUAUAAAGCUUUGUCUUUUGCCUGCUGAGACAUCUUGCUGGUCAUUUAUCUGAAUUUGUGGCUGGGGGAUUUUUUCUUGAUAGAUUCUUAGGCACGUGAACAGGAAAGAUAUCUUUCUGAAUCAAGUUUCAAAGUUCUGAGAGCAGGACCCAAAGGCUUCCCUUUCCUGAGCAUAGACGUCACCAGUAAACAGAGACAUGCUUGGCGUAGUCACAAGUAGCAUGGGCCGCUUGAAUCAGUUGUCCACCAGUCAGGCAGAAAAUGUUGAAGUGUGUUCCUUGUACACUGGCAUUUUGAGAGAGAUCUUGAUCACAUUUUUUUCCCACAGCACCCUUCAGGGAGUAAUUGACCUGUAGACUGGUUGACCACAGAACCUGGUUCUCCUUAAGGUGCCAGGACACUCACAUGACAACUGUCUCUAACAAAUUCCAUACACUUCCCAAUAGAUAAGAUGUCUCUAAGUACUUUUGGUUUUGAAAAAGUUGUGCAAGUAGGGUAAAAAAAAAUUGUGAAUCAGUAAAUAAACUGAGCACAUGGGAACAUUUUCCCAGCAACUCUAACAUGUACUUUGUCUCUUGCAAGCUGGUGUAGAAAGUCUCUUCUAGGGUAAAACUGUCAGAUUACGCUUGGGAGGCAGAGGCAGGCAGAUCUUUGAGUUUGAGACCAUCCUGGUCUAUAAAGCUAGUUCUAAGGCUGCAAGGGUCACACAGAGAAAUUCUGUCUCAAAAAAAAAAAAAAUCAAAAAAGAAAGAAAAAAGGAUAUAAUGUGAUAUAGGUUCUUUCAGCAUAUAUAAAAUAUGUAUGCAUACAUGAAUACACAUGUAUAUGUGUAUGAAAACACACAAAUGUAUACACAAUAGGCUUACAUAGGGGUUUAUGUUCCACUAUUAUAUUUUUAAUAGAAUUCUUGCUGGGCAGUGGUGGUCAUGCCUUUGUCUCUCAAGUGCUCAAUUUAAAGGCAGACAUCACCACAGCCAGUUUCCAUGAUCUCUCUGAAGAAAGGAAAGGAAACGUGAAAUCUUGAGUUUUAUAAUUUUGUGUUCCUCUUACAUAAGUGGAUUCUAACUUGGCUGAAUCUAGAUCUGGACUAAUCUGGGAAGCUGCUGGACUGCAGACAGAGGUGUUUAGCUGGAAAUAGUAAACUCGACCAGUUUGAACCUGUGGCCUGAUGACUGGGGAGGGUGUGGCUCCUGUUAUUUGUUUCGAAUAGAAUUUGGAGAAAUCCUUUCCUCUCUUAAAAGGGAAA
This is a long non-coding RNA of Meriones unguiculatus (Mongolian gerbil), 3509 nucleotides long. RefSeq lists it as uncharacterized. The record is from RefSeq and is a predicted model, not a curated record. Lineage: Eukaryota; Metazoa; Chordata; Mammalia; Rodentia; Muridae. The transcript has 5 exons.